Myotis lucifugus (little brown bat) is the source of this 100-nucleotide non-coding RNA. The record is from Rfam. NCBI's taxonomy places the organism in Eukaryota, Metazoa, Chordata, Mammalia, Chiroptera, Vespertilionidae.
AUCACCUGGGGAUCUUAUUAAAAAUGCAGAUUCCCAUUCAGUAGUUUGGGAAGGAGGGCCUUUGAUUUUGCAGUUCUAAUAAGCUCCCAAGUGAUGCUGA